UACGGAGGGUGCAAGCGUUAAUCGGAAUUACUGGGCGUAAAGCGCACGCAGGUGGCUGAGUCAGUCGAUUGUGAAAGCCCUGGGCUUAACCUGGGAAUUGCAGUCGAUACUACUCAGCUAGAGUAUGGGAGAGGGUAGUGGAAUUCCCGGUGUAGCGGUGAAAUGCGUAGAUAUCGGGAGGAACAUCAGUGGCGAAGGCGGCUACCUGGCCCAAUACUGACACUGAGGAGCGAAAGCCAGGGGAGCAAACGGG
Molecule: ribosomal RNA, 253 nt
Filed under: uncultured bacterium
Lineage: Bacteria
Description: partial 16S ribosomal RNA
Rfam family: Bacterial small subunit ribosomal RNA
Source: RNAcentral